Molecule: ribosomal RNA, 804 nt
Filed under: uncultured Alphaproteobacteria bacterium
Lineage: Bacteria; Pseudomonadati; Pseudomonadota; Alphaproteobacteria
Description: bacterial SSU rRNA
Rfam family: Bacterial small subunit ribosomal RNA
Source: RNAcentral
CGGGCGUAGCAAUACGUCAGCGGCAGACGGGUGAGUAACGCGUGGGAACGUACCUUUUGGUUCGGAACAACACAGGGAAACUUGUGCUAAUACCGGAUAAGCCCUUACGGGGAAAGAUUUAUCGCCGAAAGAUCGGCCCGCGUCUGAUUAGCUAGUUGGUGAGGUAACGGCUCACCAAGGCGACGAUCAGUAGCUGGUCUGAGAGGAUGAUCAGCCACAUUGGGACUGAGACACGGCCCAAACUCCUACGGGAGGCAGCAGUGGGGAAUAUUGGACAAUGGGCGCAAGCCUGAUCCAGCCAUGCCGCGUGAGUGAUGAAGGCCCUAGGGUUGUAAAGCUCUUUUGUGCGGGAAGAUAAUGACGGUACCGCAAGAAUAGGCCCCGGCUAACUUCGUGCCAGCAGCCGCGGUAAUACGAAGGGGGCUAGCGUUGCUCGGAAUCACUGGGCGUAAAGGGUGCGUAUGCUGGUCUUUAAGUCAGGGGUGAAAUCCUGGAGCUCAACUCCAGAACUGCCUUUGAUACUGAAGAUCUUGAGUUCGGGAGAGGUGAGUGGAACUGCUAGUGUAGAGGUGAAAUUCGUAGAUAUUCGCAAGAACACCAGUGGCGAAUGCGGCUCACUGGCCCGAUACUGACGCUCAGACACGAACGCGUGCGGAGCAAACAUGAUUAGAUACCCUGGUAGUCCACUCCGUAAACGAUGAAUGCCAUCCGUUAGUGGGUUUACUCACUAGUGGCGCAUCUCACGCUUUAAGCAUUCCUUCUGGGGAGUACGGUCGCAAGAUAGAACUCAAUGAAUUGACCUGG